GAGAUAUGAGUAGCUUGAGUUUCAAAAAAAAGUUGCCCGUUCCCAUCAGAUGCUCCAUGACGCCUCAUGGAAGCUACACUACAGCAUCAGCAAAUGGCUCUGUUUCUCUCUCUAUGCUCUGUUUUGUUCAUCUUCUCUCUCUACAGCAUCUAUGCCUCCGUAGCUCUUCCUCCUCUUCAACCACAUCUUGAUGCAACAUAUUCAUCCAAAAAUGAAUAUUAAACACAAGGCCAGUGGAAGCAAGAGAAAGAUGGUGAUAAUCAUGAUCAUGUUGCUUAGAGCUUUAGAGCCUUGAAUAAAUAACCAUAAGUGAUGAUGUACUUGGAUGAAGAAUAUAACUCUGUUUUGUCAUCACUUGAAUUGUGAAGCUUUGUGAAUUUCGAAAAUUUAGGAAUCAUUGUUAUUACAUUGUUCUGUACUUUAUAUCAUUGUCCAAGUGGAGAGAUUGGACAGUUGUCUCAUGUAUCAUUUUAGAUGGUCAAGAUCAAUUUUAAACAUUUUGUUGGAUCUCAUACAGCUAAGAUC
Molecule: non-coding RNA, 525 nt
Organism: Camellia sinensis
Lineage: Eukaryota; Viridiplantae; Streptophyta; Magnoliopsida; Ericales; Theaceae
Source: RefSeq, a predicted model, not a curated record